GCGGCGGCCUCGAGCCACUAAUCUGAGCUGUCCGCAAGAGAUCAGAAGCCGCCCGCAAAGCGGAACCUGGAGGAACGAGGGAGGGCCGCAGUCUCGGGGAACCGGAGCCCCCGCUGCGACUCCGCCGGGACAGCAGCUUCCGGCGCCCCGGCAGCCUCCUGCCCUCGGGGCACUCGCUCCCCCCGAGGUGUACUCCCCGAGGGCUGGGGGAGCGCAUUCCCUCCCGUCCUACUGAUUAAGUUUCCAGCUUUCAGCAAAUGGGGAUGCCCAAAGGAGCAGAUAGCGAGUGACCUGUGGCCCUGCUGUUUGAUUCUGGAUGGAGUUACGUUUAGGAGCCUGGCAGCAAACUGGGGCACCUGUUCAAUUAGUGAUGAUGCCAUACUCUGGGCAUGGAGAGAGUGGAGAAGGAAAUAAAUU
RNAcentral lists this long non-coding RNA (417 nucleotides) under Homo sapiens (human). RNAcentral describes it as "HSALNT0104149". The record is from RNAcentral. Lineage: Eukaryota; Metazoa; Chordata; Mammalia; Primates; Hominidae.